Molecule: ribosomal RNA, 1418 nt
Filed under: Bacillus sp. (in: firmicutes)
Lineage: Bacteria; Bacillati; Bacillota; Bacilli; Caryophanales; Bacillaceae
Description: bacterial SSU rRNA
Rfam family: Bacterial small subunit ribosomal RNA
Source: RNAcentral
UGCAAGUCGAGCGGACAGAAGGGAGCUUGCUCCCGGAUGUUAGCGGCGGACGGGUGAGUWACACGUGGGUAACCUGCCUGUAAGACUGGGAUAACUCCGGGAAACCGGAGCUAAUACCGGAUAGUUCCUUGAACCGCAUGGUUCAAGGAUGAAAGACGGUUUCGGCUGUCACUUACAGAUGGACCCGCGGCGCAUUAGCUAGUUGGUGAGGUAACGGCUCACCAAGGCGACGAUGCGUAGCCGACCUGAGAGGGUGAUCGGCCACACUGGGACUGAGACACGGCCCAGACUCCUACGGGAGGCAGCAGUAGGGAAUCUUCCGCAAUGGACGAAAGUCUGACGGAGCAACGCCGCGUGAGUGAUGAAGGUUUUCGGAUCGUAAAGCUCUGUUGUUAGGGAAGAAYAAGUGCAAGAGUAACUGCUUGCACCUUGACGGUACCUAACCAGAAAGCCACGGCUAACUACGUGCCAGCAGCCGCGGUAAUACGUAGGUGGCAAGCGUUGUCCGGAAUUAUUGGGCGUAAAGGGCUCGCAGGCGGUUUCUUAAGUCUGAUGUGAAAGCCCCCGGCUCAACCGGGGAGGGUCAUUGGAAACUGGGAAACUUGAGUGCAGAAGAGGAGAGUGGAAUUCCACGUGUAGCGGUGAAAUGCGUAGAGAUGUGGAGGAACACCAGUGGCGAAGGCGACUCUCUGGUCUGUAACUGACGCUGAGGAGCGAAAGCGUGGGGAGCGAACAGGAUUAGAUACCCUGGUAGUCCACGCCGUAAACGAUGAGUGCUAAGUGUUAGGGGGUUUCCGCCCCUUAGUGCUGCAGCUAACGCAUUAAGCACUCCGCCUGGGGAGUACGGUCGCAAGACUGAAACUCAAAGGAAUUGACGGGGGCCCGCACAAGCGGUGGAGCAUGUGGUUUAAUUCGAAGCAACGCGAAGAACCUUACCAGGUCUUGACAUCCUCUGACAACCCUAGAGAUAGGGCUUUCCCUUCGGGGACAGAGUGACAGGUGGUGCAUGGUUGUCGUCAGCUCGUGUCGUGAGAUGUUGGGUUAAGUCCCGCAACGAGCGCAACCCUUGAUCUUAGUUGCCAGCAUUCAGUUGGGCACUCUAAGGUGACUGCCGGUGACAAACCGGAGGAAGGUGGGGAUGACGUCAAAUCAUCAUGCCCCUUAUGACCUGGGCUACACACGUGCUACAAUGGACAGAACAAAGGGCUGCGAGACCGCAAGGUUUAGCCAAUCCCACAAAUCUGUUCUCAGUUCGGAUCGCAGUCUGCAACUCGACUGCGUGAAGCUGGAAUCGCUAGUAAUCGCGGAUCAGCAWGCCGCGGUGAAUACGUUCCCGGGCCUUGUACACACCGCCCGUCACACCACGAGAGUUUGCAACACCCGAAGUCGGUGAGGUAACCUUUAUGGAGCCAGCCCGC